RNAcentral lists this ribosomal RNA (262 nucleotides) under uncultured bacterium. RNAcentral's name for it is "partial 16S ribosomal RNA". It matches the Rfam family "Bacterial small subunit ribosomal RNA", at positions 793 to 1055 of the family's 1533-position model. The record is from RNAcentral.
GUCCACGCCCUAAACGAUGUCAACUGGUUGUCGGGGAAGCAAUUCCUUGGUAACGAAGCUAACGCGUGAAGUUGACCGCCUGGGGAGUACGGCCGCAAGGUUAAAACUCAAAGGAAUUGACGGGGACCCGCACAAGCGGUGGAUUAUGUGGAUUAAUUCAUGCAACGCGAAAACCUUACCUACCCUUGACAUGUACGGAACCUCGCAGAGAUGUGAGGGUGCCCGAAAGGGAGCCGUAACACAGGUGCUGCAUGGCUGUCGU